AGAGUUUGAUCCUGGCUCAGGACGAACGCUGGCGGCGCGCCUAACACAUGCAAGUCGAACGGAGCUUGUUUUUCUGAAGUUUUCGGAUGGACGAGAGAUAAGCUUAGUGGCGAACGGGUGAGUAACGCGUGAGUAAUCUGCCUUCCAGAGGGGGACAACAGUUGGAAAUGACUGCUAAUACCGCAUAAGCGCACAGCAUUGCAUGAUGCAGUGUGAAAAACUCCGGUGGUAUGAGAUGGACCCGCGUCUGAUUAGCUAGUUGGUAAGGUAACGGCUUACCAAGGCGACGAUCAGUAGCCGGCCUGAGAGGGUGAACGGCCACAUUGGGACUGAGACACGGCCCAAACUCCUACGGGAGGCAGCAGUGGGGAAUAUUGCACAAUGGGGGAAACCCUGACCCAGCAACGCCGCGUGAAGGAAGAAGGCCUUCGGGUUGUAAACUUCUUUUACCAGGGACGAAGAAAAUGACGGUACCUGGAGAAAAAGCAACGGCUAACUACGUGCCAGCAGCCGCGGUAAUACGUAGGUUGCAAGCGUUGUCCGGAUUUACUGGGUGUAAAGGGCGUGUAGGCGGAGAUGCAAGUUGGGAGUGAAAUCCCGGGGCUCAACCCCGGAACUGCUUUCAAAACUGCAUCCCUUGAGUAUCAGAGAGGCAAGCGGAAUUCCUAGUGUAGCGGUGAAAUGCGUGGAUAUUAGGAGGAACACCAGUGGCGAAGGCGACUUACUGGGCCGUAACUGACGCUGAGGCGCGAAAGCGUGGGGAGCGAACAGGAUUAGAUACCCUGGUAGUCCACGCUGUAAACGAUGAAUGCUAGGUGUAGCGGGUAUCGACCCCUGCUGUGCCGUAGUAAACACAAUAAGCAUUCCGCCUGGGGAGUACGGCCGCAAGGUUGAAACUCAAAGGAAUUGACGGGGGCCCGCACAAGCAGCGGAGCAUGUUGUUUAAUUCGAAGCAACGCGAAGAACCUUACCAGGUCUUGACAUCGAGGAAAACUGCUAGAGAUAGCAGGUGAGUUCGCUCAUCCGAAGACAGGUGGUGCAUGGUUGUCGUCAGCUCGUGUCGUGAGAUGUUGGGUUAAGUCCCGCAACGAGCGCAACCCCUAUCUUUAGUAGCCAGCAUUUGAGGUGGGCACUCUAGAGAGACUGCCAGGGAUAACCUGGAGGAAGGUGGGGAUGACGUCAAAUCAUCAUGCCCCUUAUGACCAGGGCUACACACGUGCUACAAUGGCGUAAACAAAGGGAAGCGGAGCCGUGAGGCCGAGCAAAUCUCAAAAAUAACGUCUCAGUUCGGAUUGUAGUCUGCAACUCGACUACAUGAAGCUGGAAUCGCUAGUAAUCGCGAAUCAGAAUGCUGCGGUGAAUACGUUCCCGGGUCUUGCACACACCGCCCGUCA
RNAcentral lists this ribosomal RNA (1394 nucleotides) under uncultured bacterium. Its description in RNAcentral is "partial 16S ribosomal RNA". It matches the Rfam family "Bacterial small subunit ribosomal RNA". The record is from RNAcentral.